Molecule: RNA transcript, 2702 nt
Organism: Pangasianodon hypophthalmus (striped catfish)
Lineage: Eukaryota; Metazoa; Chordata; Actinopteri; Siluriformes; Pangasiidae
Gene name: protein tyrosine phosphatase 4A3b
Exons: 3
Source: RefSeq, a predicted model, not a curated record
GCUAUGCUGUGCUUAAAAUCCUGUGCUGUAGAUAGCUGCCCUGUUCAAACUAACACCGAUCACUAUGCAUGUUCUAUGUGUCUACUCCAUUAACCUCACAGACAAAACAGCUAACUACACUAUAUAUAAAUAUGUGGACACCUGACCAUCAUACCCAUAUGUGGUUCUUCCCCAAACUGUUGAAGCUCACAGUUUUAUAGGAUGUUUUUGUAUGCUGUAGCAUUACAAUUUCCCUUCACUGGAACUAUGAGGAUCAAACAUGCUUCAGCAUGACAGCACCCCUGUGCACUUCAGCAUGACAGCACCCCUGUGCACUAAGUGAGGUCCAUGAAGACAUGGUUUGCCAAGGUUGGUUUGGAAGAACUUAAGUGGCCUGCACAGAGCUCUGACCUCAACCCCACUGCACACCUUUGGGAUGAACUGGAAUGCUGACUGUGCCCCAGGCCUCCUUGCCUGACAUCAGUGCCCAACCUCAUUAAUGCUCUUGUGGCUGAAUGGGCAAUUUCUCACAGCCAUGCUCCAAAAUCUAGAGGAAAGCCUUCCCAGAAGAGUGUAGGAUAUUAUAUCAGCAAAGGGUGGAAUGAAUCUGGAAUGGGAUGUUUGAUAAGCACAUAUGGGUGUGAUGUUCAGGAGUCCACAUACUUUUGGCCAUAUAGUGUACCUCUACUAUUUCUAUCUACUAUUACACAUGGCUGUUGCUCCUUUGGUCUACUGUAGCACUCUAGAAUAGUUUGAUCUGCAUACCUUUUUGCCUACUCUGACAAAGAACAACUUAUUUCCUUUUGUUUGUUUGCAUCAGAGCACUUUGCUCUAUGUAUAUGGUCUUAGCAACAGUUUAAACAGUAACAAAAGCCUUACGAAAAGCCUGUCAGACUGUAGAUGUUCAAAUCAGUUCCAGAUUUUCCCUGUUGAUGAUGACCUUGAUUACACACAUAGGUACCAAAGAUAUUUUGUGAAAAUGAGAGUAUUUACUAAGGGUUUAUUCUUAACUCAUAACUAUGUGUGUCCAUGCAGACACAGCAGCAGUAUUGUUCACAACCUUGACCUCCCACCUUAUGUAUGUCUAGAGGACUAAAUGCAACAUUCACUAGAAUGGCACAUCAGAGCCAAAACAUCCCUAUCCAGGAGGUGUAGCAGUGAGACUUGGAGUGUUUGAAAAUGGAAACGUUUGCUGAUGGGAAACAGGUGCCUAAGGCUUCUCCCUUUCUUGUAACAGGAGAGUCCAGUUGCUGGAGAAAUAGCAGCCUGUCAAAGAAGUUUGGCAUAAACCAGAUAGUGUUAGCAGGUUAGACACAGAUCAGGUAAGCAGAUGGCUUGAAUCACUCAAUCUUGCCCAAUAUAACUGAAUUUGGAAAACAAAAAUACAGAUAAACACAAACAGCUGUUGUUGUUCUAGUCACUAGCCGGCAAUCGUGAGUUUGUGAGCUAAACAACUUCUCAACUGAGUAACAAUACAAACUACACAACAGACUGUCACCUAUCAUUUAUUAAUGUCCCACCAAAUUAGAGAACAAAUAAAUGUCUUACCUGUUCAGCAAGAAAAAAAAUCUAAUACUCUGUCAGUCUUGAAUCCUUUUUUUCUUAUUACAGUAUAAUGUCAGACACUUUUACUCUCCUACUCCCAUUUGCUUUGUUAAUACUCUCUCACUCCUGAUUGGCUGUGGCUCUUGCCAAUCACCAUGGAGUCAGACUCCUUUAAUGCCCGGAGAUGGGACGUGGUGUCAUUUGGUUUAUCUAAACUGGCAUACGAUGUAUGCAUACAACUAUUCUGCCAGUUUUGAGCCAGUACCUCUGACACAGCACUGAGUGAAUUACUAUUACAGGAUUGUCAGUGACUCACAGCAAUUCAGCAAUUCAGAAAUUUCAGAAUUGUUUUUUCUCCCCUGACUCAAUAAUAAUGUAUUUAUUAUUUUGAAAAAAUUCUGUGCACCAUCGCUUUAAAUUACACCAGAAAUAAGUGUUUUAGCUGCUAGAUGAUAGCAAUGGUCUUAAAUAGGAAUGCAAGUCAGCUUGCCAUUCUUCUGAAGGCAUUGCCAUAGAAAUGCAAAGUAAUUCUGAUGUCCUGUUGUGCUUUUCUAUUCACAUUACAUGGCCAGCUCCCCCUGUAAUAAGACUCAAAUGUGUUGGUUAUGUAAAGAAUGUAUUUAUAAUAUAUCUUAUGUUGGUAUUAUAACGUUGUAUCACAGAUCUCCUUGAGAAACAUUUUUCUGUUUAGCAUGCUUGCACGGCAUUAUCCUGCCAUAUCUGAUUCAGUUCUUAGAUUUGCAGCUAAAUACUGUGGUGUCCUUGUUCCUGCUGGUGCUGAGUGAAGUGGGAGAGACAGCAGCAUGAGUGUGUGGUACAGUACAUGCCAUGUUUGCCAUGGCACAGCUUGUGAGAAUCGCACUGGAGUCAUCAAAGUCUUUUCACUGGUUGGUGUGAUUUAGAUAUAGUAGAGAGUCUGUUCAGUCAAAGGCCUGAGAUAGGCCUCCUUCUGCAGAUAACAUGUUCCCAUAGCACAUACUGUGAUAAUAGCUGUCAUGCUCUUUUCUGUACUGUCUAGUUACUGUCUGUUCUCUCCCCCAUAUUCAGCCAUGCUUCCUGUUGAUCUCUACAGACAUGCCUUAUAUAUACAUUAUAUUCACAUAAAACAAAAGCCAGAGCUUGUCAGUUGUAUAUUCUAAGUAAUGAUUGUUUGACAGUGCCAUGUUUUUUUUCCUUCU